RNAcentral lists this ribosomal RNA (373 nucleotides) under uncultured bacterium. RNAcentral describes it as "bacterial SSU rRNA". It matches the Rfam family "Bacterial small subunit ribosomal RNA", at positions 525 to 896 of the family's 1533-position model. The record is from RNAcentral.
ACGUAGGUGGCAAGCGUUAUCCGGAAUUACUGGGCGUAAAGCGCACGCAGGUGGUUUGCUAAGAUUGACGUGAAAGCGCCUGGCUUAACUGGGCGAGGUCGUUGAUGACUGGCCGACUUGAGGCGAGGAGAGGGGUGUAGAAUUCCCGGUGUAGUGGUGGAAUGCGUAGAUAUCGGGAGGAAUACCAGUGGCGAAAGCGGCACCCUGGCCUUGGCCUGACGCUCAGGUGCGAAAGCGUGGGGAGCGAACGGGAUUAGAUACCCCGGUAGUCCACGCUGUAAACGAUGAACACUAGGUGUAGGUGGUGUCAAAACCAUCGGUACCGAAGCCAACGCGAUAAGUGUUCCGCCUGGGGAGUACGACCGCAAGGUUA